GAUUGAACGCUGGCGGCAUUGCCUUACACAUGCAAGUCGAACGGCAGCGACGGGGCAACCCUGGUGGCGAGUGGCGAACGGGUGAGUAAUACAUCGGAACGUGCCCCGUAGCGGGGGACAACCAGUCGAAGACUGGCUAAUACCGCAUACGCUCCACGGAGGAAAGCAGGGGAUCGCAAGACCUUGCACUAUGGGAGCGGCCGAUGCCCGAUUAGCUAGUUGGNGAGGUAAAGGCGUCACCAAGGCAACGAUCGGUAGCUGGUCUGAGAGGACGACCAGCCACACUGGGACUGAGACACGGCCCAGA
RNAcentral lists this ribosomal RNA (307 nucleotides) under uncultured bacterium. Its description in RNAcentral is "bacterial SSU rRNA". It matches the Rfam family "Bacterial small subunit ribosomal RNA", at positions 27 to 335 of the family's 1533-position model. The record is from RNAcentral.